This 89-nucleotide transfer RNA is filed under the name Maribacter flavus. RNAcentral describes it as "tRNA-OTHER". It matches the Rfam family "tRNA". From Rfam's summary of the family: Transfer RNA (tRNA) molecules are approximately 80 nucleotides in length. Their secondary structure includes four short double-helical elements and three loops (D, anti-codon, and T loops). Lineage: Bacteria; Pseudomonadati; Bacteroidota; Flavobacteriia; Flavobacteriales; Flavobacteriaceae. The record is from RNAcentral.
GGAGGAAUGGCAGAGUGGCUUAUUGCAAACAGUAACUUAGUUACGGUUGGGGUUUAUGCCCCCGAGGGUUCGAAUCCCUUCUUCCUCCG